This 569-nucleotide small RNA is filed under the name Pan troglodytes (chimpanzee). Its description in RNAcentral is "retained intron". Lineage: Eukaryota; Metazoa; Chordata; Mammalia; Primates; Hominidae. The record is from RNAcentral.
ACCUCUAGUCUCGUGGAGAGAUUGAAGAUGGCGGCUUCUCAGGCGGUGGAGGAAAUGCGGAGCCGCGUGGUUCUGGGGGAGUUUGGAGUUCGCAAUGUCCAUACUACUGACUUUCCCGGUAACUAUUCCGGUUAUGAUGAUGCCUGGGACCAGGACCGCUUCGAGAAGAAUUUCCGUGUGGAUGUAGUACACAUGGAUGAAAACUCACUGGAGUUUGACAUGGUGGGAAUUGACGCAGCCAUUGCCAAUGCUUUUCGACGAAUUCUGCUAGCUGAGGUAUUGGCAGGCAUGGUGACAAGGCUGGAGUUGCUUUGGGAACUGCACUGACACCUCACUUGGAGAAUUAAGUGUCUCAAGCUGUCCUUCCCUCCUUAAUUUUCCUGGAAUUUUGCUGAGCAUUUUACCUUCUCAUUCUUUGUAAAUUUCUCAUUAAACAUUCUAGGAAGAGAGAUAGCUCCCUACCUCUGGAGGUUGGGGUUACGGGGAUAGGUAGGGGGUCUGUUGGGUUUUUGCAGAUAAGUGGUUAUUUUUCCUUGGGCAGGUGCCAACUAUGGCUGUGGAGAAGGUCC